Quercus robur (English oak) is the source of this 104-nucleotide small nucleolar RNA. Lineage: Eukaryota; Viridiplantae; Streptophyta; Magnoliopsida; Fagales; Fagaceae. The record is from RefSeq and is a predicted model, not a curated record.
CUCAAGUGUGUGUACCUGCUGUAAAUAUGGACAAACAGCGAUAUGUGGGUUUAGGUGGGCAUGCAAUGAGCAAAUCAUGCCCAUGAAGAAACUACAUUACAUGG